RNA transcript from Medicago truncatula (barrel medic), 1412 nucleotides. It is a transcript of the gene named PRELI domain containing protein 3A, with no coding region annotated. The transcript is spliced from 4 exons. The record is from RefSeq and is a predicted model, not a curated record. NCBI's taxonomy places the organism in Eukaryota, Viridiplantae, Streptophyta, Magnoliopsida, Fabales, Fabaceae.
UAUAGAUCUGGAUUAAGUUCAUGUCUAGAUAAAAAAACUUAUUUGCAGCUUAUGGCAUAGGUGCUUAUCAUAAUAAGCACUUAUUUAUAAGCAUAAGCUAUUUUUAUACCGAAAGUAAUACUGCAUGAGAUGUCAACGGGUUGCAUUUGUGAGUUUCAACCGACAAAGACAAAUGCCGAUUUGGGUCGUUUGUGCAACUGGGUUCACAGUUGACCCGUACACAUGAACACCUCUAGCUCUAGGUAUAGAUUUUGACUUUCACUUUUCUUGUCUUACAAAAUCAGCACGCGAAGCUGCCUCAGCACCUCCACACUCUCCGCCAUCUGAUCAAUUCCAAUUUUACCCUUCCUGUCACCGCCUCUCUUAAUCCUCACUUUCGGUUAAUCGAUUUCACAGCUUAAUGGUGAAAUCAUACAAACAAGAACACGUAUAUAACCAUCCAUGGGAACGAGUAACCUCAGCAUCAUGGCGAAAAUUCACCGACGCUGAAAACAAGCGUGUUUUACCACACAUUCUAGAUUGCAAUACAUUGAACACAAGCCUUGAUUCAUCCUCCGGGAAGCUGUACGCGACGCGCGCUAUAACCGUUCGUUGUCCGUGGCUGGUACGAAGGAUUAUCGGUGAAGACAUUUGUCAUUGUGUUGAAUCAACAGUUGUGGAUGCAAAAUCGCGUUCGAUGCAGAUUUGUUAUAGGAAUAUUAGUAUGGAGAAGUUUAUUGAAGUGGAAGAGAAGACUAGGUAUGAUCCACAUCCGGAUAAUCCGAAUGGAUGGACUGUUUGUCAGCAGGAGACGAGGAUUCGGAUUAAGCCGUUGUCUGCUUUGGCUUCUAUGGCGGAGAAAGUUGAGCAGAGGUGUGCUGAUAGGUUUCUUCAGAAUAGUGCUAAGAGUAGAGAUGUUAUGGAGAGGAUUUGCAAAUAUCUUGAGGCUGAGUCUAGCUCAUUUUCUUUGUGAUUGUUUCUGAUAUAACUUUGGAUUUCGAUUGAUUCUCUGCAGACAAACCAAGAUCAGUUGACUCAUAUUACUCUCUAGUCUCUUGCAACAUAUGAACAAGCAAUGUAUUCAGCCUGACAAGAUGAUAGGUGUAUCAACAAACCUACUUACAACUCCCACAACAAAGCACAAGUAUGGUCUACUGUGGCAAAGGAUUGCACCCCAACAUAUUCAAUCUUUUUAAAAUUUCCCUCAUGUACUUCUGCUGAUGCAAUAUAAUACCUGAGCUUGUUUGAUGAGAGAGACUGCAGACCAAGGAAGUAGCUUAGUUUUCCCAUAUCAGUCAAUAUCUCAAAUUCAUUGUGCAUCGUUCUCUUGAAUGCAUCGAUUUCACUUCGAUCAUUCCUUGUGAAUAGUAAAUCAUCAACGUAUAGGAAGAUCAACAUUAUAUUCUCUGAGCUUUGCUUUGAUUUCACAUAAA